RNAcentral lists this ribosomal RNA (1373 nucleotides) under uncultured bacterium. Its description in RNAcentral is "bacterial SSU rRNA". It matches the Rfam family "Bacterial small subunit ribosomal RNA", at positions 28 to 1381 of the family's 1533-position model. The record is from RNAcentral.
GAUGAACGCUGGCGGCGUGCCUAAUACAUGCAAGUCGAGCGAACGGACGAGAAGCUUGCUUCUCUGAUGUUAGCGGCGGACGGGUGAGUAACACGUGGAUAACCUACCUAUAAGACUGGGAUAACUUCGGGAAACCGGAGCUAAUACCGGAUAAUAUUUUGAACCGCAUGGUUCAAAAGUGAAAGACGGUCUUGCUGUCACUUAUAGAUGGAUCCGCGCUGCAUUAGCUAGUUGGUAAGGUAACGGCUUACCAAGGCAACGAUGCAUAGCCGACCUGAGAGGGUGAUCGGCCACACUGGAACUGAGACACGGUCCAGACUCCUACGGGAGGCAGCAGUAGGGAAUCUUCCGCAAUGGGCGAAAGCCUGACGGAGCAACGCCGCGUGAGUGAUGAAGGUCUUCGGAUCGUAAAAACUCUGUUAUUAGGGAAGAACAUAUGUGUAAGUAACUGUGCACCAUCUUGACCGUACCUAAUCAAAAAGCCCCGGCUAACUACGUGCCAGCAGCCGCGGUAAUACGUAGGUGGCAAGCGUUAUCCGGAAUUAUGGGUGUAAAGCCCGCGAAGGCGGUUUUUUAGUCUGAUGUGAAAGCCCACGGCUCAACCGUGGAGGGUCAUUGGAAACUGGAAAACUUGAGUGCAGAAGAGGAAAGUGGAAUUCCAUGUGUAGCGGUGAAAUGCGCAGAGAUAUGGAGGAACACCAGUGGCGAAGGCGACUUUCUGGUCUGUAACUGACGCUGAUGUGCGAAAGCGUGGGGAUCAAACAGGAUUAGAUACCCUGGUAGUCCACGCCGUAAACGAUGAGUGCUAAGUGUUAGGGGGUUUCCGCCCCUUAGUGCUGCAGCUAACGCAUUAAGCACUCCGCCUGGGGAGUACGACCGCAAGGUUGAAACUCAAAGGAAUUGACGGGGACCCGCACAAGCGGUGGAGCAUGUGGUUUAAUUCGAAGCAACGCGAAGAACCUUACCAAAUCUUGACAUCCUUUGACAACUCUAGAGAUAGAGCUUUCCCCUUCGGGGGACAAAGUGACAGGUGGUGCAUGGUUGUCGUCAGCUCGUGUCGUGAGAUGUUGGGUUAAGUCCCGCAACGAGCGCAACCCUUAAGCUUAGUUGCCAUCAUUAAGUUGGGCACUCUAAGUUGACUGCCGGUGACAAACCGGAGGAAGGUGGGGAUGACGUCAAAUCAUCAUGCCCCUUAUGAUUUGGGCUACACACGUGCUACAAUGGACAAUACAAAGGGCAGCGAAACCGUGAGGUCAAGCAAAUCCCAUAAAGUUGUUCUCCUUUCGGAUUGUAGUCUGCAACUCGACUACAUGAAGCUGGAAUCCCUAGUAAUCGUAAAUCAGCAUGCUUCCGGGGAAUACGUUCCCGGGUCU